AAUGGGGGGAACCCUGAUCCAGCCAUGCCGCGUGUGUGAAGAAGGCCUUUUGGUUGUAAAGCACUUUAAGUGGGGAGGAGGCUUACCUGGUUAAUACCUGGGCUAAGUGGACGUUACCCACAGAAUAAGCACCGGCUAACUCUGUGCCAGCAGCCGCGGUAAUACAGAGGGUGCGAGCGUUAAUCGGAUUUACUGGGCGUAAAGCGCGCGUAGGUGGUUAAUUAAGUCAAAUGUGAAAUCCCCGAGCUUAACUUGGGAAUUGCAUUCGAUACUGGUUAGCUAGAGUAUGGGAGAGGAUGGUAGAAUUCCAGGUGUAGCGGUGAAAUGCGUAGAGAUCUGGAGGAAUACCGAUGGCGAAGGCAGCCAUCUGGCCUAAUACUGACACUGAGGUGCGAAAGCAUGGGGAGCAAACAGGAUUAGAUACCCUGGUAGUCCAUGCCGUAAACGAUGUCUACUAGCCGUUGGGGGAUUUGAUCCUUUAGUGGCGCAGCUAACGCGAUAAGUAGACCGCCUG
This 514-nucleotide ribosomal RNA is filed under the name uncultured bacterium. RNAcentral's name for it is "bacterial SSU rRNA". It matches the Rfam family "Bacterial small subunit ribosomal RNA", at positions 370 to 875 of the family's 1533-position model. The record is from RNAcentral.